Molecule: ribosomal RNA, 773 nt
Filed under: uncultured Neocallimastigales
Lineage: Eukaryota; Fungi; Neocallimastigomycota; Neocallimastigomycetes; Neocallimastigales
Description: partial large subunit ribosomal RNA
Rfam family: Eukaryotic large subunit ribosomal RNA
Source: RNAcentral
CGAGCACGCGCGUGUGGCAUAUCAAUAAGCGGAGGAAAAGAAACUAACAAGGAUUCCCUUAGUAACGGCGAGUGAAGCGGGAAGAGCUCAAAUUUGAAAUCUUCAAGGUUCUACCUUGACGAAUUGUAGUUUAUAGAAGUGUUUUCUGUUAGUGGAGUGGCAAAAGUUCUUUGGAAUAGGACAUCAUAGAGGGUGAGAAUCCCGUAUUUGGUCAUUCCUCCUAGCGUUGUGAUACACUUUCAACGAGUCGGAUUGUUUGGGAAUGCAGUCCAAAAUGGGUGGUAAAUUUCAUCUAAAGCUAAAUAUUGGCGAGAGACCGAUAGCGAACAAGUACCGUGAGGGAAAGAUGAAAAGAACUUUGAAAAGAGAGUUAAACAGUACGUGAAAUUGUCAAAAGGGAAGCGUUUGACACCAGUGUUGUUUUUCCGAAAAUCAAUUACGAAUGUUUUGUUUUUGAGGAGUUAUGACUUCAUCGGCUUGCUCCUUUCUUUAUGAAACUUUCUUAAUGCACUUUUCGGUUAACAAGUCAACAUCAAUUUCUUUUGUUGUAAAAGGGUAUGAGGAAGGUGGCUUUCUUUUCGGAGAAAGUGUUUAUAGCCUUGUACCUCUGCAAUCGGAGAGAUUGAGGUCUGCAGCGUAGAUCCUUCGGGGUUAGAUACAUUUGUGCUAAGUUAUAGCUUUUCAUAGACAACUUGUUGACUAUGUUUAGUCUUGUAGCUUACUCGCUGACGCUAUUUUACCUACGCUUAGGAUGUUGAACUCUAUCACACACA